GCGUUCACCUUUGCUUCUGCUCAGAAACCUGUAAUCUGCGUCCACAGGGACAGCUGGUGGGAUGAGAGGCCAGGAUCCUGCCUGAACACGUCCACGCUUCUGGAGGCCCCAGGAGAAAGGGGACCAGGCGUCCAGGAGUGUGACGGGCUGGGGUGACGGCACAGACGCUUCUGUAACGACGAUGCGGUCACUCACACUGUGCGCAGCACUGAGAAAAACGGCUUUCCAGGAAUGCUGCUGCAAGCGUCCCGUCUAAGUGCCCCUGCUCCCCACACUGCUCCCGGACGCACGGCCCCUCACCGACCGAACAGCAAAGAGGAGGCUGGCAGGGCACUGCACAGGGGCACGGGCCGAAGCCUGCUGGAGAGGAGCCCACUCCACUCUGAGGGACGAACGCCCGCGUCAUCUCCCUGCUGACCUCACACGGGGCGCCGCGUGCCAGGCUGGGCUCCAGCAGCCACCUAAGGCCUCAUGCGAGGGUUCUUUCCAAAGAGGAGAUGGGGAGAGGGGCACGGCUACAGCCCAGGCCCGUCCGAGGGCAGCGCGGGGCUGACUCGUGUUAAGUAAAGAUUCAAAUCAACAAAAUGCAUCGCUAUGGAAACAUUCAGCUUUUUCAAAACCAUCGCUCAGAAAAAUAAAGCAAUCGAGACUUCAGAUUCAACACUUACCAAGUGUUUAUGACCAGAAAAGGCAAUGUGGGUCUUGGAUAUUCCGCAGCCAAGUAAAAGCUGCCAGACUCAGCGGGGCAGAGACCCAUCACGUGCGGGAUUCCUCCACAGGCCCCCCGGGGCCUCCACUCAGCACAGCACCCUGUUGCGUGGCGAUUCAGGGCACAGAGCCACGCACUGAGCAGGGCCAGCCACAGGGGCCAGGAGGCCGCAGACUCGGGAAACGUCAGGGUUACGGGCUGUGAUCCAAAUGCCACCGAAGUCAGUGGACCAGGUUUCACGGUGGAGGAUACAUGAUCGCUAGCUGCUGUUCUGAGGCGGCCUGCCUGUCAUCGAGGCGCUUCCAGGGCACCACCCGACCCGUUUCUUCGGGCCACCUGCUCGCCGCAGCAGUACCCUCAUGAACUAUGAAGCGUGAUGCUGACUUUGCGCGUCCUCGGGGCCCCCAGUUGUACUCACAGCAAGUAUCUGCUUGUCAUUUCAAAAGGGAUAUCAUCUUCGUGGUUAGAGAAAAAAAAAGGCAGUCCUACCACCGGGUGCCGAGAAACAGAAGCUGCGGUUGCUGCUCUCAGAUGAAGAUGCCCCGGCGGUGGCCCGGCUGCGGGCACGGAGCAUGCAUCUGUCUCCCUGGCAGCCCCAGCAGCGACGAGGGAAGAGAUCAAAUGUGCAGCUGACACGAGGGGAGGCCCUGACCCUACGUUAGGAGGGACGCCGUAGGACCGGGGACCAGCUGCGGGUUCUGUGGUCUACGGGGGCGGAAGAGGAAUUUCCCGAUGUCAUGCAUCAGACUCACAACCCAAGCUGGCUGUACCAUCCUGGCCAGAUUUUGUUUAAUAGGAAAACAGCCAGGAAUUAGAGGCUUUAUUUUAUUUUUAUGGUAAUUUGUAUCUCCCUCCCUAAAAGGCUUGGUGUGAUGUUCAGAUUUUAUAAAGCGCUGAGCAUUUCUUAGAGAAAGGAGCUAUCCACACGCAAAACAUCACCAGAAAAGGGUGGGGGUGGGAGGGAGCCAGAAUCCGACAGAGAGCAGGGCCUGCUUGGCCCAGAGUCCCAUCAAGCACCGGGGAAGAGCCUGCCAGCUGGUGGCAAGUCCCACCAUCCCCGAGACCGUGCAUCUUACAGCCCGGAACACAAACAGGAUCACAAGCAAGAAGCCUCUACACAUUUUCCCAGCAGGCAGCCAGGGAAACUCUAACUCUCCUGCCCUGUUUUCAUCCCUUUAAUUCCAUUUUCUUUCUCUUGAGUUUUCCUUGGUUUGGAAUCAAUCCUGGGCAGCGCUCCUAGGUCAAGAGGUCAAGACGACACCUGAUUUAUGAUGCAACACAGGGCGGCCACCCUGUUCUGUUUUGGGAACCUCGGUGACAUCACGGACUAACUGUGGGAUCUCGGGAACUUGUGUCUAAGAGGGCACUGAGUCAGAAGACAGCUUUCGUCACAGGGCUCCCGGAACCUAAAGGAAAAAUGACUAUUGGGUAACUGAGUGUGUCCCCAGGGGACUGCUCCCGCUUCUCUCUGGCUUGGGCUUAAGUGACUCAAGUCGUUCUCCAGGGGAAACUCAUCUGUGCGGGACAGCUGUCACCAGCAGGACAUUUGCUGCUCUUCAGCCUAAAUUUCUCAUGACAUCACUCCAUUACUUCUCUCUCCGAGGGGACAGGCUUCUCUCGUGUUACAAGUUUCCCGGUGGCUGCCUGCAGAUGGCUGGGCUACCGGACGAAGCCUCUGCUCCUUGUUCAGAGGCCUGUACCCAGCGUGUCCCAGGAGGGAGACUCGGUUAGAUGAAGUGCUCCCGGAACACGCAGCUUUCCAUUACGGAAGUGGCAAGCCAAGAUGCUGGGCCGUUGAGGUGGACUUCACGAGACUCGGUGAGGCCUCCUCUGGUUCUGGGCAGCGGUCUGCCUGCCGAGGGCUGCGGUCGCCGAUGCCUGUUUAUAUCCUACUUCACGGAGUCACAAAGAGCAGACACGUGCGCAUUUACCCUGGUGGCGGGGCCCACUCAAUUGCCUCAAACGAAGCAGGGAGGGCGGGAAGAAACAGUCCACAGACAAAAUCACCCGUGAGCACGGCCACAGCAGUUUUUAAUUUGUGUAAAGAAAAUAUGUGAUUUCAAGAUGCGAUCGGGGAGCAGCGUCCCAGCGGUGAAGAGAGCACGCACGCGAGCCGCUGGCCGUCUCUGAACAGGACUCUGAGCUGGGAAGCAAAUCCCACCCCGUCUUCCCCACAGCUACCCCGAGAGAUGAGCUGCACCAGCCUCUGCAGGUUUCUUCGCAGCGGGAGGUGUGCUCGGUGUCAGCACGGCUGCUCUCUCAAGGUCUCACACCACCAGUGCCUCCGGGGUCUGGAUAAACCGUCCGAAAAGUCAGGUUUAUUCUCGGUUCUCUAGAGUGGUACUCUCUGGGGACUCGGUGCUGAACAGAAAUAUAAAUAACGCUGACAUAAACACAUUUAUGACGACAGGACGAUUUUGAUUUCACCCCCCCUUCAUCCCCUGUGAGCAUCAGUAAAGGAUCUGAAGUUUUGUGGAGAAAGGUUUUCUUCUCUGAAGUCAAGUGCCCUCCCACCCCCCGCCCGCCCAUCACUCCGAUAAGCCAGCGCCUUCACAGGGAGGUCUGUAUCUCUUGUAAUCGUGGAUCUUCCUCGCAGCUUUCUGCCACUUCCCACAUCUCCUAAGCACAUAAGCGGCUGAGAGCCAAGACGGCCAUGAGCUCGCACUCCCGUGCUAAGCGUUUACGUGAACUUGCACACCCUACAGGUGACCUGGCUUUAACACACGCAGGCCUAAGGUGUGAAGCUGUGCUAGCCACUGGCUACCUGAAGCUAUUGAAACGAAUUUAACUUAAAUUAAAAAUUCAGUCUUUUAGCACACUAGCCCCAUGUCAAGAGAUCAAGAAUAGCUGUGGGUACUACACGGGGACUUAGGAGACACAGAUACUUCCCCCGUCACAGAAAGCUCGACUGGACGCCACUGCUGCGGAUGUUUGCUCUGUAGAAUCAAAACUCCUUGAAAAUGUGCCACUGUCCUGCCUUUCGAUCAUGAUAAAAGCAACUUGCUUUUCACCAUAUGUACUAGGGAAAGUACUACUCGUGGCCGUCAGGGCACCGCCUCCGUGUGAAUCCAAAUUCCUUGCAUGUUCUCACCUGCCAGUCGGCUUGUGUGGCUCCUUCCAUGAUUAACAAGGUCCCAUGAUCCAAGGGUAUCUUCACUCUUUCCACAUAUGUGUAGUCUCCGUUCUCUUCCUAGAAAACAGCAUUCAUUGCACUACAUUUUCUGCUUGUGUGAUCAAGAUGCAGCAGAACCUGACAAUGGUCAAGGGAUGUGAACCGCUGCUCAGCUAGACUGCAGGGGUUCACCUACUGGCUCCGUGCGCGGCAGCCGCUGGGCCUUAGGCAGGUUGUGUCACCACUCUGUACCUUAGUUUACUCAUCUGUAAAAUGGGGACAACGACACGACCUGCCACAUCGGGCUGUUUUAAGCCUCCACUGAUGCGAUUUGCAUAAGUCACUUGGAGACUGGCACAUAUUAAGUACAAGUGCCAGAUAUUAUCAUCAUCAGCAUCUAAAAUGAACAAGAACCCGUUCUGGCCUGUGAAGAAAUUAAGUCACUUACACAAGAACUCUUUACGUGUGUUUUAUGCUGCGCUCUGUGUUUUGACAUAGUGUGGAAAAAAAUGGGAUUUAAACAAGACGUGGUGUGAUGAGUUCUCAUCGCCUUUUUACAAUUUAUGCUAAUUCACUAAUCAUGCCUAUGUUAAAACAGUUUACAACUCUUCCUAUAGCUCCUCUGGCGUCUUGGAGAUGUAUUCUUGUUUCUUUCCAGAAGCGUCAACAGCAAGAUUUUCUUACAUAAGGGAGCUCUGGCUUGACCCGAACACUGCUGCAAACCGGGACUGGCGGUCAAACACUUCAGAUACAAAUGCCUUGCAUUUACAUUGCCCCUCUCCUCCAGGGAGCUCAAAGUCAACUCCUGUCCGGGACUCUAGUGGAGCUUCCCGCAUGGCCUGGGAAACAGCCCAAAGGUGGGGUCCUCCUGCUUCGCAGCCAACAAAGGGGUGCAUCCGAAGAGCUAGUCAAGAGUUGAGACCCAAGUUUCCUGAGUUUUCCACGUCCAUUCUGGGCAGAUCCACCCAUUCACCUACUUCACUUCUGAUGCAAGGGAUUGCGUUUGGCUUACUGUAGGAUUGAUUUCACUGCAAUACUGUGUUUAUGUUUAUACUGUAGGGGUGCUUCUCAGAACAUAACUAUUUAUAAUGAUUUCCUUUAGGAAAGUCAAAAUCAAAACAAUAAUGAACUUGCAUAAACAGUUUAAGUUCCAGGUCCUGACCCUUGGCAGUGACUUUGUGGAGCACAGUCCUAACUUCUACAGGCAGAAGAUAAAAGCAGUGUUUGAAAUAACUUUUGGUCUUGGUGAUUGACUUUAAUUAUGUCGCCACCUUUUCUUUUGUAGUAGCAAGUAAUAACUAACCUCUGACCCCUCAGCCAGCCAGAGGGCAGUGCGAAGGUGACCCGGCCCUGGGUGGCCCAGUUGCAUCUCCGAGAAGCAAAAGUCAGCUCUCUGAAAAAAAGGAUUCCAACCAGAGAAGAUGUAUGUCCUGCUGGACAAAGUAUACCAGAAGGGAGCGCAUCAUCCAUGAGAUCAGAGGCGCAAGGCUCCUGGAUUUAGGCCGCAGAGUCCGUUACUGACCACGGCUCAACACAGGGAGGAGCAGACCUCCCGUGGCCCUCCGCAUGCCGCAUGCUCGGAGCGCACAGCAUGACCUACUCUAAGUGCAGACACGGGACAGGGCGGCGUAGUGGAGAGAGGAAAGACGCUGAACCGCACAUAAAGCCAAUCCUGAGACAAAGAUCUCUUCAAGCGGUAGAAACACUACUGAGGAGGAAGGGACGCCAAGGCCAGUGGAAAAGGAGUGAGCACUGUACUUCCACCUGGAAACAUGUGGCGGGCACAGAGCCAGCAAGGGAGAGAGGGUUCCACGUGGCAAGUGGGAAGCAUCGGCCCUGACAGAAAGUGACGUUCAACAGAGCCAUGUUUCACUUAAUGUUCCUAAGAUCUGAAUUUUUCAAAGGAGAGAAAGCCUCAGGUUGCUGUUAAACACACUACAUUCCAUUUAAACUUUAGCUCUACCUAAAAGCAGAAGACGGAGCUCCUUCACGAGGGAUAGAGCUACUCAGUCCCCAAAGGACAGUGAGACCCAGGGCACCCACUGUAGGAGGUGCCUUAGGAAUUUCAACCAACAACUGAUGCUUGAAAAUCCGCAGCAGCGGUGUUUCUCUCUACUACAAAAGUAACACACGUUCACUGAAGUAGGAGACACAUGUAAACGACUGGUUUGAUGUCUGCUUUCCUGCUCCCUCCCCGAUAAACCCCGUGAACAGAGGACUGCGUCGUCCCGUCCUCUGAAACAUGCUCUGCACCUACCGCACGCACCAACCAAUAGCUGCUGAAUGACUGAGUGCCAAGAGCACCAAGAACAUACAAUCCUAUCAUCCAGGAUCAGCGCCGUGCAUGCACAGGAAACAUCCUCUCUACAUAAUCACUUUACACUUGGAACAUUAGAGAGUGAGCAGGUUUCUUCAUCUCAAAUGUACAGUAUUUCAGAAAUGGGGUUAUAGAAUAUUCCUUUAUAUGAACAUAUCUUUCCUUCUUUAAACUCACAAAUAUUUUUUCACCACUUGUGUCUGUCAGGCACUGAGCUAAUGCUAAGAAUAUAGUAAUGAGGUACACAGUGUUGGACACGGAGAUUUUAAUACACCAGCACUGCUGGAAAAAAAAAAAGAAGACAAGAAAGAAACAAAGGCUACUGCAAGUAGAUCCUGGGCAAAACAUUUUUGAUUAUUUUUCUAAGGAUAUGCUCUCAAAAAUGGAACUACUGGAUCCAAGAAUACGAACUUUAAACCAGUUUGAUUUAUACCAUCAAACUGCUUAAGAAGGUUGUGGCAAUUUAGAAUUCCAUCAGGAAAAUACUACAGUACCUAUCUUUUGGUCACAUCACCAAUACCAAACAUUACCAACUGAAAAUGACGAAAAAAAAUUCAGGGGAAAAGUGACAAUUCAUUAUUCAAACAGAGAAUUCUUUAAUUAUUAACCCAGUUCAACAUUUCUUCCCAUGACUAUUUGCUGUUUGCAUUUACUCUGUUGUCAACUCUCUGUUCAUGUUCCUUGUCCAUUGUUCUACAGGAUGUUAGUAUUUCUCUUAUUGAUCUGUAACCACAGAUAGUGAGAUGUUUAUCCUUUGUCAUACUUUCUGAAAAUAUUUUUCUCAUUUGGUAUUUGUCCCUUAACGGAGUUGAUGAUACUUAAUAUAGAGUAGCUCAAAGA
Long non-coding RNA from Canis lupus familiaris (dog), 6978 nucleotides. RefSeq lists it as uncharacterized. The transcript is spliced from 3 exons. Lineage: Eukaryota; Metazoa; Chordata; Mammalia; Carnivora; Canidae. The record is from RefSeq and is a predicted model, not a curated record.